This 846-nucleotide ribosomal RNA is filed under the name Triticum aestivum (bread wheat). Its description in RNAcentral is "partial small subunit ribosomal RNA". Lineage: Eukaryota; Viridiplantae; Streptophyta; Magnoliopsida; Poales; Poaceae. The record is from RNAcentral.
AUGGAACUCUGGAGGUUCUUGGCUAGAAUGGUUCUUGGUUCUGGAUAUGUUACUACUUUAGCCUAUCUUUUCUGUUUGUUCUACAAUUUUUUGGAGUGCAAAAUCGGCAGCGUUAAACUCUGGAAACAGAAAAUGGCUUGGAUGUCUCACCAGCCUUGCCGCUUCUACAUCAUUGAUGGAUCUUGCAAGUAUGGUUCAGGCUGUUUGUUCUCUCAUGGACUUGACUUAUUUGGGAGGAUAGAGAUGCAAAUCAGGGCACUUCUGCAUGAGCCGGAUGUAUAUCAAGUUCCAGUAGAGCAUUUGCCGUGGAGUCGCCAUGAGUUGGGUAUACUGCUUCGGCAAGUGGGAUGGGAUGAGACUCUUGAUCACCUAAUGAGUUUGCUCGAGUGUCUUCAUACUAUUUGUGUGGUUUAUAACAGCUAUGGAUAUUAUGCAAUCCUGUUGGAGAAUGUUUCACGCUACCUGGGUUACUUACCUUACAAUCCAAAUGUGAUGGAUGCCGACAGUGAAGUUCACCAGAUUUAUAUUAACUUCUCUGCUCAAAGUAGAGAAAUAUGCACUGAAGAAAAUGUUCGUAUCUAUUUCAGCCAUUAUGGGGAAGUCUUUUCUGUAUAUAUUCCGCGUGAAAGGUCAUAUGGUUUUGUGAGAUUCCAGUACCCUGAGACAGUGAGGCUGCUUUUAUUAAACUGGAAUCAUCUGGUCCCUCACUUCAUCUUCGGAGCAGGACUUUAUGUGAGCCCCUAUAUCUCCAACAAUCGGAGGAACCCUGCUGAGAAUCAUGGGCCGAAUGGCCUGGAUGGAGGGCCAGGACAUGUGCCAAAUGCCCUGGGUGGAGUGCCAGGAUAA